RNAcentral lists this ribosomal RNA (122 nucleotides) under Petromyzon marinus (sea lamprey). The record is from RNAcentral. Lineage: Eukaryota; Metazoa; Chordata; Hyperoartia; Petromyzontiformes; Petromyzontidae.
GCCCUCUGACCAAAUCACCCGUGACGCGCCCCAGUCCUUUUGGACUUCAGAAGCUAAGCAAGGUUGAACCUGGAUAGUGCUUGGAUGGGCGACCACCAUGGAGAAAACAGGUGCAGUAGGCA